Molecule: ribosomal RNA, 52 nt
Filed under: Aspergillus nomiae
Lineage: Eukaryota; Fungi; Ascomycota; Eurotiomycetes; Eurotiales; Aspergillaceae
Description: Aspergillus nomius partial 28S ribosomal RNA
Source: RNAcentral
GGUUGACCUCGGAUCAGGUAGGGAUACCCGCUGAACUUAAGCAUAUCAAAAG